AAGUCGUAACAAGGUUUCCGUAGGUGAACCUGCGGAAGGAUCAUUAACACGUAUCCAACGUUAAACAACCCUGUGAACUUUAAGCCUACUCUUGCAGCCCAUGAGGAACAGCAAUCCCGGUAAAUCAUUGCCAAACAGUUUUGAUUCGGGACCUCUGUCCAAAAGGAGUUGCAAUUGAGUGGUAGAUGCAGUGGCAUGGCUUCCCCAAGCAGUUAGUGAAUGACAGUGUCACUGACUGUGUAAGGAUAACGCCUCACGGUUGCCAGAGGUCGAUCACCGACCGCCUAGUGGUAACGCGCUAGGUAAAAAAAACCGAACAACUGUUAACAAUGGAUAUCUUGGUUCUC
RNAcentral lists this unclassified non-coding RNA (347 nucleotides) under fungal sp. RNAcentral describes it as "partial internal transcribed spacer region". The stretch from base 1 to 46 matches the Rfam family "Eukaryotic small subunit ribosomal RNA", at positions 1786 to 1831 of the family's 1831-position model. The record is from RNAcentral. Lineage: Eukaryota; Fungi.